RNAcentral lists this ribosomal RNA (301 nucleotides) under uncultured bacterium. RNAcentral's name for it is "partial 16S ribosomal RNA". It matches the Rfam family "Bacterial small subunit ribosomal RNA", at positions 509 to 807 of the family's 1533-position model. The record is from RNAcentral.
CAGUAGCCACGGUAAUACAGAGGGUGCGAGCGUUAAUCGGAUUUACUGGGCGUAAAGCGUGCGUAGGCGGCUUUUUAAGUCGGAUGUGAAAUCCCUGAGCUUAACUUAGGAAUUGCAUUCGAUACUGGGUAGCUAGAGUAUGGGAGAGGAUGGUAGAAUUCCAGGUGUAGCGGUGAAAUGCGUAGAGAUCUGGAGGAAUACCGAUGGCGAAGGCAGCCAUCUGGCCUAAUACUGACGCUGAGGUACGAAAGCAUGGGGAGCAAACAGGAUUAGAUACCCCCGUAGUCCCUGUCUCUUAUAC